RNAcentral lists this ribosomal RNA (406 nucleotides) under uncultured bacterium. Its description in RNAcentral is "partial 16S ribosomal RNA". It matches the Rfam family "Bacterial small subunit ribosomal RNA", at positions 29 to 526 of the family's 1533-position model. The record is from RNAcentral.
AUUGAACGCUGGCGGCAGGCCUAACACAUGCAAGUCGAGCGAGCGGCGGACGGGUGAGACAUGUAUGGGGAUCUGCCCGAUAGAGGGGGAUAACUACUGGAUACGGUGGCUAAUACCGCAUACUUUCGGAUGAACCCAUCUGGGAUGAGCUAGGAGGUGGGGUAAAGGCUCACCUAGGCGACGAUCUCUAGCUGGUAUGAGAGGAUGAUGAGCCACACUGGGACUGAGACACGGCCCAGACUCGUACGGGAGGCAGCAGAGGGGAAUAUGGCACAAGGGGCGCAAGCCUGAUGCAGCCAUGCCGCGUGUAUGAAGAAGGCCUUAGGGUGGUAAAGUACUUUCAGCGGGGAGGCGUUACCCGCAGAAGAAGCACCGGCUAACUCCGUGCCAGCAGCCGCGGUAAUUC